GUCUUAUCCUGUCCUAUAGGAACUAAAGAUGUAGUCUUAUCCUGUCCUAUAGGAACUAAAGAUGUAGUCUUAUCCUGUCCUAUAGGAACUAAAGAUGUAGUCUUAUCCUGUCCUAUAGGAACUAAAGAUGUAGUCUUAUCCUGUCCUAUAGGAACUAAAGAUGUAGUAUUAUCCUGUCCUAUAGGAACUAAAGAUGUAGUCUUAUCCUGUCCUAUAGGAACUAAAGAUGUAGUCUUAUCCUGUCCUAUAGUUACUAAAGAUGUAGUCUUAUCCUGUCCUAUAGGAACUAAAGAUGUAGUCUUAUCCUGUCCUAUAGGUACUGAGGAUGUAGUCUUAUCCUGUCCUGUAGGUACUAAAGAUGCAGUCUUAUUCUGUCCUAUAGGUACUGAGGAUGUGGUCCUAAACCUCUGUCCUGCAACAGGCCCAGUAAUACUUAACAGAGGUCUUGGUACAUGACCUAGGUGAUCACAGGUCCAAGACCAUUACUCAACACUGUUGUACCCCGUGACAGAAGGACAGAGCAGUGUUGACUCAGUUUAACCUGUGUAAGAGAAACAUCUGUGAAACAGUGUCCUGUUCAGAGCUGUAGAUGGCAUGUUUAGCCCUGUUAAUGAGCAGGUCAUUCAUUUCACAUUUAUAAAAGAGGAGAGGAGAUGGAUGGAGCAAUUUACAGGUCUAUUAGUUGUGGAGGGCUGGAGGGAUGGAGGGAUGGAGGGAUGGGGGAAUGGAGGGAUGGAGGGAUGGAGGGCUGGAGGGAUGGAGGGCUGGAAGCCUGGAGGGAUGAAGGGAUGGGGGAAUGGAGGGAUGGAGGGAUGGAGGGC
This 821-nucleotide long non-coding RNA is filed under the name Salmo salar (Atlantic salmon). RNAcentral's name for it is "lncRNA (ENSSSAG00000103024.1)". The record is from RNAcentral. Lineage: Eukaryota; Metazoa; Chordata; Actinopteri; Salmoniformes; Salmonidae.